CGAGGCAUCCCCGAUCCAUCCAGCAUCUUCUCGCGCAGUCUUCUUCGACCCGCUGCCACAGUCCCGGCGCCCCAGGCCCUGCGCAGAUGAAGACCCUCCCUCGGACGGCUUUGCGGGCCCUGCCUCAGCCGGCGCCCCCUUCUCUCCUGCAGGACCCGGACCCGCGCUGCAGGGGCUGAGUGCCCCCUGGGUCGGCAUCUGAGUCUUGCCUCCCCGUAGGCUCAGUACCUGGCACGUGUCCAAGGCUCAGCAGCUGUACCACAACCACCCAACAGGAGAGAAGGAAAGGAGAGGUGCACCCCGGGGAUGUGGUGAGGCCAUCCCGUCAUGGGGAAUCAGAAAAGGACUGCGUCUUAGCCAGCCAGCUGGGGGAAGGUGGGGGUACCUCUUGUGUUUCCUUUUCUUGGAAUUAUUCUCCCUGGUGACCGGUAUAUAUCCAUUUGAGGCCCCUUGGCAUGAGAUAGAGCCCAGGUCACCAGGGGAGACUUAAAUAGACACCAGACCUCACCUCGAAGGCGACCUAAGGUGCUCCUGCCCCUUUGCCCUCCCCGUCCAGACCAGGCACUGCCUGUCAGGUGCUGCACGCUCCCAAACCUGUCCUGGAUUUUCCAUCCUCUUCAAGAUUCACCUUCCCAAACCUAUACCAUGUCAUCCGAGACGCACAAAAGCUGAUCUGAAAAGUCUUCUCUGCCUCAGAUGCAGAUGAAUUGUCAUCCCGUGGAGGGUAGUCAGUUUCCUUCCUGCUCACAAGAAGAUGGUGUGGCUCAUGGGAUGGUAACGACAGCCCCCAUUCAUGAAGUGGCUAGCUGUUGUACCAGAUAUGUAGAUAAGUUGCCUGGGCUUCUCGGGACAUGUGACCAGGUGGCAUCUGGGUUGCUCACCCAGGGCUUCUUGAUUGUUGCAGAGGAGGCAGCACCGGGCAGAGGGGCCCUUGAGAGAUGUCACCAUCCUGUUAAGAAAGGGCUGGACCACAGCGCUGCAGAGGUGAGCUCUGUUCAUUGGAGGUCUGGGGCUUGGCAUCCCGCAAGUGCCCACAGGUCCCCUGGUGUGAUGUUCUCUGGGAAGUAGGUAGAGGAGUGACGAGGGUGGCUUCGUCCUGGCCUUCUCUGGGGCCUUCAAGAACACACCUGGUUUCUAUUUAUGCCCUUGAUUCUGAGAGCUCUUCCUCAAAUGUUGGCAGCAGAACGUGUGAGUUGAAGCAGGGAAGGGAGUUUGGCAUAUCCACCUGUACGUGGGUCUCCGUCACUUCUCUGCCGCCUCCUAGCUUUGGGACCUUCUCUUACCUCUGGUUUCACCCUCUGGAAAGCAGGACUCAAAUGAGGCUAUUUGUCUUCAGAUCACAUGGCAUCUGUUUUUUACAACCUGAGACCUCUUUCACUUUUCCUUCGGAGGCCUCUCCUGUCUGGGCCACGGGGAAGGCUUUGUGCAGGACUGGAAGCAGUUGCUGGGUCCUUGGGCUCCACUGGGUUCACUACUCCCAGGCCUUUUCCAUGGGCCUCCUUUUCCAGCAAGCCCCCGUCUUUCCCUGCCCCUGCACUUGGACAUGAUCACCGGCUGCCCAUGGCCCGUUGGUAGGCAGUGCGGGCGGAGGGAGCGUGGGCGGGUUGUCCCGCGCUUGGAGAGUCUGCUUCCUUACCCUGCAGUUCCAGGAGCUUUCCCACCCUCCUGCUGCUCCCCUCAUACUCCUGGAGCCUCCAGGGCUUCAGGGGCUGUCCUGUGUGCGUUAGUGUCAUUGUUGGGGCUUUUAUUUCCUGCCCUGCUGUUGGGAACCGGACUACAUGUGCUGCGUGAGUUCCCCUGAAUGUUCAGUUGCUGCCACUCGGCCAUGGCAUGUUCCCAUGGGCCUGGCCUUGACACCCUUUUCUGCCCACCACUGGUGAAUGGCAUGCUGAUUAGCGCUGGCCACCCUGCCGCAGGCCAUCCGCCGUCUCCCUCUUUAGAGUUAACUACUGUUCUUUUUAUGAGGAAACGGCGUGUCUAUUCAGGAAAUGAUCACUGCCAGCAUCUGCAGAGUGCUUACUGUCUGGCGGCUUCUGUGCUGAGCCCUUUUCUGCUGCCUGCCAUGCGCUGUAUGAGCAGGGGCAAGGCAGGUGCUCAUUCUCAGCUUCUUGUCCGAUGCAGAUGAGUCCACGGUGUGCAGAGGCCGUCGUGGAAGUUGUCGUGUCAGCAGCGCUGUAGACCCCAGUGUCCUUGAGUGUUCAUUCUGACUCUUCUCUGGGAGCAUUGAGAUUCCUUUUUGAGCCAAGUUUGGUGUGGAAAAAAACACUGCAGCUCAUCUCUGACUAAUUGGGGACGCUUUCAUGGAUGUCACCUUAAAGAAAGAUGAGGGGUGCUGCUUUGGAAGAAGCCUCGGGGGUCAGAACCACUCGCCCUCUCAAGGUAUUUAGGGGCUGACCGCGGACACUGGCGUAGCAGCGUGAAGCAGGAUGUUGUCGCAUGACCAUCGCCAAACCUUUCUCUUCUGUUGCCUCAGCACAGCGUGGAAGGACUCUGCCCUCUGUGUGAACAGGGCAGAGGGGAAGUUCUGGGGCUCCAGGGACUUGGGGUUCAGAGCUGGAGACCUUCUACUGGCUCCCAGCAGGUGCCUCAGAACACUGCUGACCAGGAAGACUGUCUCUUCCCAUCUGGACCAGGUCAUCCUGUGGCUUCUGUGUCUCCCAUUUGCUCCUAGUAUAACUUUUUAGAACCAGGAGUUCCUGUUGGAGUCUUGUGUGCCGUGCAUCUUAUCUUCUCACCCACUUAAAUAAAUCUCGAAACUGC
This 2760-nucleotide long non-coding RNA is filed under the name Sus scrofa (pig). RNAcentral describes it as "lncRNA (ENSSSCG00035077735.1)". The record is from RNAcentral. Lineage: Eukaryota; Metazoa; Chordata; Mammalia; Artiodactyla; Suidae.